Molecule: small RNA, 95 nt
Filed under: Mytilus galloprovincialis (Mediterranean mussel)
Lineage: Eukaryota; Metazoa; Mollusca; Bivalvia; Mytilida; Mytilidae
Source: RNAcentral
CAGAAGUACCGUUUACUGGACUGGUGAUUCCCUAGGGUACAACUAAAUAAUUAUUAGUUGUAACCUAGGGAAUCACCAGCCCAGUAUUUGGUACU